CAGGAGCCGUCACUUCUGCCUGGAGCCUCAGCAUCAUAUCAGUGUUCACAAGAUGUCCCGCCCUCUUGUCAGCCUCCACCAAUCAGUGGCUCUUCAGGCAGAAGCACCAGGCCUCCCUCACGUCAGCUCCGUGCCAUCGGAGCGACCGUGACGCCGCGGCAAACCCAACGUGACGGCUGCCUUUUUGUCCCGUGCAGUCAGGACGCAGCGACCGGCCGGGGGACGAGUGUAAUCGCUCGGACAGGUGACACAUCAGAGGAAACCAGAAGAUGACGGGGGAGACGACUCGGAUCGUGUGACCUGCACCUCACACGCCUCCUCCUGAACUACGUGGAUGCUGCAGAAAUUUGAAGUGCCUGGAGUGAAUUUUACAGAAACACCCCUGGAGGAGGUGAAGAUGAGAUUAUUCCUGAGUAAAACUCCCUGAGUUGUGAUCCAUCACACCAACAUUGAUGUUAGAGUGUUCCAGCCCUCCUAAAUCAGAGCUCCAUCACUCCCGUCUCGUCCUCCUCCUCUCUGAGUUCAAGGUCGCCGUGCGGCUAUUUCCAGCUCGUCUUCGCUCUGAUCCGUGUCGCAAAAUGACAAGUCUUCUUUCAGCACCUGGCUCUAACGUCUACUUCCCCUCGGUGGCUGUCACAGCAGACCUGCCAGGAGAGCGUCCACUGAAGUCCUCCUGUCUGCAGCUUUUCACGCUUUACUUCCCCUACAAUUAAUUAAAGGGAUGAAAAGUCCCACGCAGCACCUCACCGCCGCCACUACCUUUGCCAGCUGUCAAAUUGGAGAGACGUGGAGUGGAGAAAAAAAAAAGGCCCGAGGCUGGGGCUAUUUAAGAGACCGAACAAUGUGGAGGGACACCAAGCAUACUGCUAGAAUGUCAGAGGGU
This is a long non-coding RNA of Cheilinus undulatus (humphead wrasse), 883 nucleotides long. RefSeq lists it as uncharacterized. The record is from RefSeq and is a predicted model, not a curated record. NCBI's taxonomy places the organism in Eukaryota, Metazoa, Chordata, Actinopteri, Labriformes, Labridae. The transcript has 7 exons.